Long non-coding RNA from Cairina moschata (Muscovy duck), 1821 nucleotides. The record is from Ensembl. NCBI's taxonomy places the organism in Eukaryota, Metazoa, Chordata, Aves, Anseriformes, Anatidae.
GUCUCUGGGACCUCCUAAAGAUGAUCUUGAGGUCUCUUCCAACCUAGAAAUUCUGUGAUUCUGUGUAAAGUGUCUGUUUUUUGACAAGGGUAAAGGUGUUCCUUCUGUGCUCCACUGCUGCCCUCCCUUUCUUUGGGAAGAGUCUUGCCUCCUCUGUUUCCAACACUUUCUAUUUCUGCUUGGUCUGAAGUGAUCUGUUGGCUUUCUGCUGUUUGCAUGCUUUCUGCUGCUUUUCCUUUGUACUAUUGCCAAGAGCAUGCCCCAAAGGACGCGGGGUGAACAGCAUCAGAAAAUCAUGCCUAACACUUACUAUCAGGGCCAUCAUCGUGGCUGCUGACCAAGUCCAUCUGACCAGGUUUGCUUGGCCACGUUGAGUUCAGAAGCUCAGCAGCUAGUGCAGGUGCUGCUUGUGUUGUCUGGGGCCAGCUAGGACUGUGAGGAUGAGAGGACCCAGUGGACCUUCCUGCCCCAGCUACCUCUCCCUGGCUCCCAGCUGUCCCGCUCUCUGUUUUUCCCACUGAAUGCAAUUAAAGAAAUCCUGGAAAGAGACACAAGAUUGUUUCCCUUGGGGCUGACCCUGAAAGAAAGAGGAGCCGUGUGUGGAUACACAUGGGAUAGGCACAAGGCUGGGAAAGAAGCUCGGUGCGGGCUGAAGGAGGGUGUCUGUCAAUGUCUGCUUGGCAGGCCCGGCAUUUCCUGCUCCCAGGGGGACCUGCUGGGAAAUCGCAUGUGGCCCCAGUCACCACAGCAGCUCAGCGCCUGCCAGAUUUUAAAGGGUAGUAGGGAGAAGACACAGGCCGUACCUCUUCUGCAGGUAAACAGAGGAUGUUUUUCUCCCAAGUUGGCAGCUGUCAGCACCCUUUCAGCAGCAUUCAGGUUGCUUGAAAGAUGAGCAUGAGAAGGGGAAAAAUCACUUUGUUUCCACAUGAUGAUUCCUCCUUUUUUACUAGGUGGACGUCUGUUCUCAGAGGAAAAUCUCUAUUUCUGUUAGUGGAUGCCUUGCUUAAAAUUGCUGACAUAAGUAUGUUGGGAAAAUUCCCUAGUCUUCGUCCACUGAUUGUCUGAGUGAUAUCCCAGGGGCCAGCCUGCUGUGCUGCCGUAGGAAUGAGGAAGGGAAUCCAAAGUUAGACACUAAGCAGCUGUGCAUGGGGGGACCGUGGCUGUCCUUAUCUAUCUAUGGGAACAGUUCUACGCACAGUGUCAAAAAAAAAUUCAAGUAGAUUUAUUGUAUAGGUAAACUGGUAUAAAAUAUCCGGGCUCAGGUAGAGAAAGGGAAGGUUAAAAAGAGAGAGAACAAAGAAGAGAGAGUCUUUCUUUCAGAAGGCCCGCUGGUGUGUUUCUGCUCCCUCCCAGUGAGAGAAGCUUCAGCUCGGUAUAAUUGCCCAGCGCUGUAGUGAGUGUUGGACAGACAUCAAAGGAGAUGUGAGGGGGCUGAGGGGAUCGAGGUCCAGUCAGCCUGCUGGAUGUGGUGUUGCAGUGGAUGGCUGGCCUCACGUUUGGGGCAGCCAGGCAGCCUCAGGAGCGUGCUAGCCUGUGCUCUACCAGUCUGUGGCUAGGGAUGGCGAGUCCCCAGUCCCUGCGGGUCCCAUGGUGAGAAUAUGGCCGAAAGCUUCACACCUCGAGAUUGGUGCUUCUCCUCAGCCUCCAGGUGUGCGGCGUCCAGUGGCUGCCCCUGCCAAAAGCUGUGAGAGGUGUCUGCAGUGUGACAAUGACGUUCACCGAGAAGGAGCAAGAGGGCAUUAAAAGAGAGAGAGGUUAGUGGCAAGAGUCUGUGGCCCACUGUGCAGAAGUUUUACAAAGCGCCGAGACCACUCCUUCUCC